CCUACGGGAGGCAGCAGUAGGGAAUUUUUCACAAUGGGCGAAAGCCUGAUGGAGCAAUGCCGCGUGAAGGUCAGUGCCCUAUGGGCGUUAAACUUCUUUUGUCGGGGAGCAAAAGCCGGACGUGUCCGGCUGUGAGAGUACCCGAAGAAAAAGCAUCGGCUCACUCCGUGCCAGCAGCCGCGGUAAUACGGAGGAUGCGAGCGUUAUCCGGAUGUAUUGGGUUUAAAGGGUGCGCAGGCGGAUUUUUAAGUCAGCGGUCAAAUCGUGGGGCUCAACCCCAUCCAGCCGUGGAACCUGGGGAUCGAGAGUGUGCGGGAGGUAGGCGGAAUGCGGGGUGUAGCGGUGAAAUGCAUAGAUAUCACGCAGAACCCCGAUUGCGAAGGCAGCAUACCGGUGCACAACUGACGCUCAGGCACGAAAGCGUGGGUAUCGAACAGGAUUAGAUACCCCUGUAGUC
This 457-nucleotide ribosomal RNA is filed under the name uncultured bacterium. RNAcentral describes it as "partial 16S ribosomal RNA". It matches the Rfam family "Bacterial small subunit ribosomal RNA", at positions 338 to 795 of the family's 1533-position model. The record is from RNAcentral.